RNAcentral lists this ribosomal RNA (467 nucleotides) under uncultured bacterium. Its description in RNAcentral is "partial 16S ribosomal RNA". It matches the Rfam family "Bacterial small subunit ribosomal RNA", at positions 28 to 507 of the family's 1533-position model. The record is from RNAcentral.
GACGAACGCUGGCGGCGUGCUUAACACAUGCAAGUCGAACGAUGACGACCGAGCUUGCUCGGUCUGAUUAGUGGCGAACGGGUGAGUAACACGUGAGCAACCUGCCCUUCACUCUGGGAUAACCUCGGGAAAUCGGGGCUAAUACCGGAUAUGAGCUCCUGUCGCAUGGCGGGUGUUGGAAAGUUUUUCGGUGAAGGAUGGGCUCGCGGCCUAUCAGUUUGUUGGUGAAGUAGUGGCUCACCAAGGCGAUGACGGGUAGCCGGCCUGAGAGGGCGACCGGCCACACUGGGACUGAGACACGGCCCAGACUCCUACGGGAGGCAGCAGUGGGGAAUAUUGCACAAUGGGCGAAAGCCUGAUGCAGCGACGCCGCGUGAGGGAUGACGGCCUUCGGGUUGUAAACCUCUUUCAGCAGGGAAGAAGCGAAAGUGACGGUACCUGCAGAAGAAGCGCCGGCUAACUACGUG